Molecule: ribosomal RNA, 657 nt
Filed under: Linnemannia hyalina
Lineage: Eukaryota; Fungi; Mortierellomycota; Mortierellomycetes; Mortierellales; Mortierellaceae
Description: eukaryotic LSU rRNA
Rfam family: 5.8S ribosomal RNA (bases 179-332)
Source: RNAcentral
UGCGGAAGGAUCAUUAAAGAGACGUUGCCCUUCGGGGUCGACCUCCCACCCUAUGUUUAUCAUACCUCUGUUGCUUUGGCAGGCCCGUCUUCGGACCACCGGCUCCGGCCGGUCCGUGCCUGCCAGAGGACCUAAAACUCUGUUUGUUAAUGCAGUCUGAGUACUAUAUAAUAGUUAAAACUUUCAACAACGGAUCUCUUGGUUCUGGCAUCGAUGAAGAACGCAGCGAAAUGCGAUAAGUAAUGUGAAUUGCAGAAUUCAGUGAAUCAUCGAAUCUUUGAACGCACAUUGCGCCCCCUGGUAUUCCGGGGGGCAUGCCUGUUCGAGCGUCAUUACAACCCUCAAGCUCUGCUUGGUAUUGGGCCCCGCCAGUUCUGGCGGGCCCUAAAGUCAGUGGCGGUGCCAUCCGGCUCCGAGCGUAGUAAUUCUUCUCGCUCUGGAGACCCGGUUGUGUGCUUGCCAACAACCCCCAAUUUUUUUAAGGUUGACCUCGGAUCAGGUAGGGAUACCCGCUGAACUUAAGCAUAUCAAUAAGCCGGAGGAAACAUUAAAGAGACGUUGCCCUUCGGGGUCGACUCCACCCUAUGUUUAUCAUACCUCUGUUGCUUUGGCAGGGCCGUCUUCGGACCACCGGCUCCGGCCGGUCCGUGCCUGCCA